Molecule: long non-coding RNA, 2593 nt
Organism: Bombyx mori (domestic silkworm)
Lineage: Eukaryota; Metazoa; Arthropoda; Insecta; Lepidoptera; Bombycidae
Exons: 2
Source: RefSeq, a predicted model, not a curated record
UAGGGACCAACUUUGUUUUUUUAUAAUUUUUUUUAUGUAGAUAGAUAGAGCUCGUUAAUCUCAAUAAUAAUUGUUUUGGGCAAAAAUUACAAAAACUUUAUAGUUUGGUCAGAAAAAUGUGUUUUGUGAUUUUUUUGUAUGGAGCGGGUCACAUUAAAUUAAAUUCCUGCUAAGCACCGCGAGGUCCCGCUUUGAAACUUUAUUUUCCUUAUACCUUGUCUAGUCUACUAUCAUUUGAUGCCAUGAACAUGUGCAUAAAGUUGCAACUCUGCCAAAUAAAUGGAUCGAAAAAAAAUUAUAAAUACAUAGAAUAAAAACCUUUAUAUUUUUUUUCGUAAGUGCUUUUAAGUUAAAUUUGAUAUGGAUUAGUAAGUAAAAGCACGUAAUUAUACCCAUAAUUACAUAAUACCUAACAACAAUACAUUUAGUAGGUCUCUAAUUAAGCAAUCUCUCUAAUUAUUAAGAUAGUUAACAUUAAAUAGUAGAAAAUAUAGUAAACAUUUGUUUGUCUCUGGAAGUAUAAAGUGACCAUGUUUAUUAUAUACUAACUAGUGUUCGUUUAUUCGUACUACUACUAACAUCUCGUGAUUGUCGUUGUGAUCUUGCUGUUUCCGUUAUAAUUGAUAAUUUUGUUAACAAUUUAGGAUUAUUUAUGAUUUUAAGAGAGCAACUACAGUCGCUGUCUGAUAAUAAAAAACUCUUUCAAUUCCUACAAAAUCAAAUAAACGUGACCGAAGAGAAAAAUUUUGAGCUCCAAAAAUUCAGUACGCAAUUUUGUUCAAAUAUAAGUGCAAUAUGGAAACGAAGUAGUCGCAUGUUAGCACAGUUUAUAAGAAAAAAAAUGUGAUUGGUUAGAAUGUGCAAUAAACUGGCCCGAAGGAAUGAUACCUGAAGCUAUCAACACUGCACAUGAAAGGCUCGAGAUUUCUAAUACUGAAGAUGUUGAAAAUGUACCACUCUCAAAUGCCUCGACAUCUAUUUUUGCACCUCGAAAACCUUUUGAAGAAUUGGGAUCCAGGCAAAAACGAAGACGCAUUGAACAAAUUUACCAAUCGCUUUCGUUAUCCCCGGAUAAAAUGAAAGCUACUACAAUUACUAGUUUGAGAAACACUAGAAAUGAAGAUGUAGGAGAAAUAAUGAACCACUUGUCAAAUCACCCCGAAGAUCUAGAAAAAGUUAAUGAGUAUUUAAUUACAAGUAAAGUGAAAAGUAGUACAUAUUCUCCCGAUAAGGCAAUAUUAGUUUCACUUAAAUUAAGUGGCAGUAUAUAAACCUAAGAGAAGCAGCAAGUGAAAAUGGGUCUGAUUUAUACCCUUCUUAAUAUAAAAUUAAGCAAGAAAAGACCAAAUGUUAUCCAGGGAAAGACGAGGUAAUUAUUACUGAAGAAGGAGCUGCUAUUAAAAUGCAAGCAUUACUAAACUUGGCGCUAUAUAGGCUUUUAGAUGUGAUUACUUCGGAUUUGGACUCUGCAAGAGAGCUACUGCUUAUAAGCAAAUAGGCUUUGAUAGAGCCCCAGGUCAAAGUAAUUAUAAACAAAAAACUGAAACAGAGUAUGAUGAUUCAUCUAUUUUCAUGGUCAGUCUAGUUCCUAUAAGGCUUCAGAAAUUUGAUGGAACAAUUGUUUGGGAAAACGACCUCAUCAACUUUUUAUUGCCGUCCAAUAAUGUUUAAAUUUACAAAAGAAACGCAGUCAACAGUGACAAUUAUAAAAGCUAGCAUAACAGAAGAAAUAGAAAGACUUCAGCCAUCAAAAAUCAAACAAGUUGAAGUUAAGCAUCAAUUGCACAUGAUGAUGAUAGACGGCAAAAUAACCUCAUAUUUUUCAGAAACAUUUUCUGCUGUCUGUGAUAUUUGCAAAGCAAAACCGAGUUUUUUGGAGUGACUUGCUUAUCAAAGAGAAAAUAAUGAAGAAAUAUUCCAGUAUGGAAUGCCAUCUUUACAUGCCUGGAUAAGAUGCAUGGAGUGCUUACUUCAUAUCGGUAAACUCUCGGAAGAGGCAGCGGAAGCUCGCAAUAAAGAUUUUCGGAAAUAUACAGAGAGAUGUUAUUCAAGAAUGAGAAGUAGAACGUCGAAUAAUGAGGAUAUUUUACACAAUCUUCUUUCGUCUUCUGACCCAAAGAUCGAAAGGUGAAACAAAAUAUAUAAUAUUUAGAGAGAUUGCAUAAUUAGAGACCUACUAAAUGUAUUGUUGUUAGGUAUUAUGUAAUUAUGGGUAUCAUUACGUGCUUUUACUUACUAAUCCAUAUCAAAUUUAACUUAAAAGCACUUACGAAAAAAAAUAUAAAGGUUUUUAUUCUAUGUAUUUAUUAAAUUUUUUCGAUCCAUUUAUUUGGCAGAGUUGCAACUUUAUGCACAUGUUCAUAGCAUCAAAUGAUAGUAGACUAGACAAGGUAUAAGGAAAAUAAAGUUUCAAAGCGGGACCUCGCGGUACUUAGCAGGAAUUUAAUUUAAUGUGACCCGCUCCAUACAAAAAAAUCACAAAACACAUUUUUCUGACCAAACUAUAAAGUUUUUGUAAUUUUUGCCCAAAACAAUUAUUAUUGAGAUUAACGAGCUCUAUCUAUCUACAUAAAAAAAAUUAUAAAAAAACAAA